GACGAACGCUGGCGGCGUGCUUAACACAUGCAAGUCGAACGGUGAAGCUCCAGCUUGCUGGAGUGGAUCAGUGGCGAACGGGUGAGUAACACGUGAGCAACCUGCCCCUGACUCUGGAAUAAGCGCUGGAAACGGCGCCUAAGACUGGAUACGAGAAGGGUCAGCAUGGGCACUUUCUGGAAUGUUUUUCGGUUGGGGAUGGGCUCGCGGCCUAUGAGCUUGUUGGUGAGGUAAUGGCUCACCAAGGAGACGACGGGUAGCCCGCCUGAGAGGGCGACCGGCCACACUAGGACUGAGACACGGCCCAGACGGCUACGGGAGGCAGCAGUGGGGAAUAUUGCACAGUGGGCGAGCGCCUGAUGCAGCGACGCCGCGUUAGGAAUGACGGCCUGCGGGUUAUAAACCUCUUUCGGCAAAGAACAAGCGAAAGUGACGGUACCUACAGAAGAAGCACCGGCUAACUACGUG
This 468-nucleotide ribosomal RNA is filed under the name uncultured bacterium. RNAcentral describes it as "partial 16S ribosomal RNA". It matches the Rfam family "Bacterial small subunit ribosomal RNA", at positions 28 to 507 of the family's 1533-position model. The record is from RNAcentral.